GCCUAAGGCACCUCCCCAGAGUCCUCCAAUGCCACCUUCUCCACUUCAGCUGCCACCCAGACCUCCGUCAUCUUCCUCCAGCCUGGGAUCUCCAGAGGUAACUGAAAACUCAUCUUCACAGAGCCGACCCACAUCACCACCCCAGGCUCCACCAGUGGCUCUUUCUUCACCUCAGCCACCACCUGACCUUCAACACGUGCUAGUGCCUCUAGCCUAAGUUCACCUGGGAGCCCACCCGCAUCACCUCUCCAGAUCCCACCUCUGGAAGCUUCUUCACUGUAGCCAGCACCCGAACCUCAACUGCACU
Molecule: long non-coding RNA, 307 nt
Organism: Pygocentrus nattereri (red-bellied piranha)
Lineage: Eukaryota; Metazoa; Chordata; Actinopteri; Characiformes; Serrasalmidae
Exons: 3
Source: RefSeq, a predicted model, not a curated record